CACAUCCAGGGCCGGAAUUUGGGCCAUGGUUUGACAUGUGAUAAGAUCAGCAUCAUGCUUGUUGAAGUUUAGAUAACAAUGGGAAUCUGCCAGUAACAGCGGUGCCAGAGGGACCUGAGGAGAAGGUUAAGGAAGGGUGGCAAUAGGAGAGUUGAGGAAAGCUGUCAGUGAAUGAGUUGGUAAAAUCAAGCCAAUCGAGGGCUAGUGCACCGGGCUGUGAUGGCCCAAAUCUUGACUGUGACAGCUAGAAAUUGGUGCCAAAUCAAGUGAACUCUUCACUCAAUCUUCCCUGCGCCCUGCUGGUGUCAAUCCUUUUGAGACUGGUAAGAACUGACAGCACUGAAAUUAGCUUGAAUGCAGGGAUGGAGCUGGCAAGAACAACACACCGCAGAGCUCACGAUGCAGAGAGCUAAACGCAGACGCUGCUACUACAUCAGGAUGCAGUGAGACAAACCAUGAGUGGGUGGCAGCGCUCUCCUCUUGUCCUGCCCUGUUAGCAGGUGUUAGAACUCAGGGGAGAGAUGUUGUUGACUCAUUGUGGCAGGUGCAGCUUGUUAACUUCAGACCUGCCAGUGUCAGGCAGCUUGUGUGACAUGCACAUCUAUAAGGCCCCCUUGUGUACUCCCAGAGCCCAGACAGCUCCACACAUUCAUAUGGGCUUAGGGGGAGAAGCAAGUUGAUCCUCACAGCCAGUGAAAGCAGUCUGGCUGCCUCUCUCCCUGGCCAGUUCCCAGCGCACAGGGUGCAGCAGAGAGGGAAAGAGGAGGAGUCCAUGGAGGUCAGUGCCCCACAUGCAGGCUCAUUCUUGCCUGUGAUCUGAUCUUGCUUGGGACCUUUCUGAUAUUCUGACUCCAUUCUCCCAGCUCUGCUUCAGAGUCACAUUUGCUACCCUAGCUGAUGAACCACCAAGUAGCACAUAUACGCCAGAGUUCCUUUUUGUCUUGCUAACAGGCAGCAUUUCACCAGUAUCACCCAUCUGAACACACUGGAUCAGCUGAACCAAAGUUUUUUCCCUAGGCAUGAUGGACUUGCUGGAAUGAACAGAACUGGAAAUGGGGCAGGCUCCACUAUUAUCUUUUGGCCCAUCCUCCAUCUUUCCAAGUCUUGGACCUGAUUCUCCACUCACACUGUAGUAAGGCAGAAGUAACUACUGAAGUCAAUGGAGUUCCUGUAACCCAAACACCUCAGGUCCCUGUACACCACCUUCUCGGCUGAGGGAGGCUGAGAUUACCUUCACCUGCAGCACCAGACAAGAAGUGGAAGGUUGAAUCCUAUUUCAAUGUUUUUCAACCUCUGCCCUUCUUAACCCUUUGUUCUGAUCAACUCAUUCCAAGGAAGAUCUACAACAGAAGUAACAAGUAGAAAAUGCCAAGAGCUCCAUUCAAGUUCAGCAGCAGCAAUAAGCCAAUUCUGACAGUUAAAAUGCUUAGGGCACUACAGCCAGAUGUGACAAUGGAGUUAGCAGCUUUAGGGAGAGUGAUCUCUCUAUAACCAGGAAGUAAUGGACAGUUAGAAUGAUAAAAAUACCUCUACAUUCUGUGUAAAAUGUUUUUUGUAAGGGAAUGGGACAACCAAGGUAGAGAAACUCCGUAGUAGCUUCCCUACACAUUAGAAGUGCAGAUUUUUACUAUAAUCAAUUUGACCCCUAGACAAGUUGUGGUCUCACUCUGAGACCACACUUGCUAAGUGGUAUCAGUACAUGCAGCUGACAGGUACCAGUAUACAGUUCUACAUCUGGAGCUGAAGAGGCUAUGGAGAUAACAGGUCCCAACAUUCCAGACAUUCUCAAUGUGGUCACAAUCCAUGGAACCAACUAACAUCUCCAGCAUGUUAUCACAAUCUGUGGCUCACAGUGACUGUGUCCUAGAAAAGACAUCAUGCCUGAGGGCCAAUGUCCCCUAAAACAAGAGCUUCCAGCAUGUAAUGCUCCAUCUGGCCCUGACUCCAUGCUGCAUGGGGACAUAGGAUUUAUGGUGUAUUCAGGGUGAAGGCACUCAUUUUUCCCCUCGAAGUGAGGGGAAGUGACAGUUGGAGGAGAAGAGGGGAGACAGUUGAUGGACAGAGGCAGGCAUUGUGGAACUUGAGAGAGAGAAACUGAGAGUCUGUGAAUUAACUGAGAGAAACAGGGAGAGUGAGAGAGGGCAGCCAGAGGAACAGAGGGACAUCAAGAAUAAGUUGAGAGAUGGAGAUUGAGCAAGACAGACAGACAUGCAGAUGAGGGUCUGUUAGUUUAAAGUUGGCUAGUCAAGUCAGUCCAUGUUUGAUGGCAUGUUCUUGAGUAUCAGCAUGUUUGUUCCUGAGUAUUUGUUCUGGUCAUCUCCUAUCAUUGAUUCAUGUUGUCCCAGAGAUGCAGAAUAGGAGCACCAAAAGUACUGCAGUUCCAGCGGGUCUGGUCUAAUGUGCACUACCACAAGCAAGCUUCACUGGGGCUGAGUCCCUCUCCUUCAGGAAGUCAUGAGUGGUGCUUGUGGCUCAGAGAUUGGGUACUAUCUACUACUCAAGUCAGUGAGAUAUUUGGGGAAAAGGGAACUUUGAACUAGAUAUAAUAAACAACCCUAUAAUCGCCUGUGCUGAC
Mauremys reevesii (Reeves's turtle) is the source of this 2575-nucleotide long non-coding RNA. RefSeq lists it as uncharacterized. NCBI's taxonomy places the organism in Eukaryota, Metazoa, Chordata, Testudines, Geoemydidae. The record is from RefSeq and is a predicted model, not a curated record. The transcript is spliced from 5 exons.